This 253-nucleotide ribosomal RNA is filed under the name uncultured bacterium. Its description in RNAcentral is "partial 16S ribosomal RNA". It matches the Rfam family "Bacterial small subunit ribosomal RNA", at positions 524 to 776 of the family's 1533-position model. The record is from RNAcentral.
UACAGAGGUCUCAAGCGUUGUUCGGAAUCAUUGGGCGUAAAGCGCGCGUAGGCGGCCCGGUAAGUCCGCUGUGAAAGUCAAAGGCUCAACCUUUGAAUGUCAGCGGAUACUGCCAGGCUAGAGUCCGGAAGAGGCGAGUGGAACUCCUGAUGUAGCGGUGGAAUGCGCAGAUAUCAGGAAGAACACCAACGGCGAAGGCAGCUCGCUGGGACGGAACUGACGCUGAGGCGCGAAAGCGUGGGGAGCGAACAGG